UGGACCUCUCCUCCCCAG
RNAcentral lists this microRNA (18 nucleotides) under Homo sapiens (human). RNAcentral describes it as "hsa-miR-6861-3p". Lineage: Eukaryota; Metazoa; Chordata; Mammalia; Primates; Hominidae. The record is from miRBase by way of RNAcentral.